Molecule: long non-coding RNA, 430 nt
Organism: Oncorhynchus keta (chum salmon)
Lineage: Eukaryota; Metazoa; Chordata; Actinopteri; Salmoniformes; Salmonidae
Exons: 3
Source: RefSeq, a predicted model, not a curated record
GGGAGGAGAGGGAUGGGGAGAAGGGAGGAGAGGGAUGGGGAGAAGGGAGGAGAGGGAUGGGGAGAAGGGAGGAGAGGGAUGGGGAGAAGGGAGGAGAGGGAUGGAGAGAAGGGAGGAGAGGGAUAGAGAGAAGGGAGGAGAGGGAUGGGGAGAAGGGAGGAGAGGGAUGGGGAGAAGGGAGAAGAGGGAUAGAGAGAAGGGAGGAGAGGGAUAGAGAGAAGGGAGGAGAGGGAUAGAGAGAAGGGAGGAGAGGGAUAGAGAGAAGGGAGGAGAGGGAUGGGGAGAAGGGAGGAGAGGGAUGGAGAGAAGGGAGGAGAGGGAUAGAGAGAAGGGAGGAGAGGGAUAGAGAGAAGGGAGAAGAGGGAUAGAGAGAAGGGAGGAGAGGGAUGGGGAGAAGGGAGAAGAGGGAUAGAGAGAAGGGAGGAGAGGG